RNAcentral lists this ribosomal RNA (791 nucleotides) under uncultured Mycobacterium sp. RNAcentral describes it as "bacterial SSU rRNA". It matches the Rfam family "Bacterial small subunit ribosomal RNA", at positions 557 to 1346 of the family's 1533-position model. The record is from RNAcentral. Lineage: Bacteria; Bacillati; Actinomycetota; Actinomycetes; Mycobacteriales; Mycobacteriaceae.
GGCGUAAAGAGCUCGUAGGUGGUUUGUCGCGUUGUUCGUGAAAUCUCACGGCUUAACUGUGAGCGUGCGGGCGAUACGGGCAGACUUGAGUACUGCAGGGGAGACUGGAAUUCCUGGUGUAGCGGUGGAAUGCGCAGAUAUCAGGAGGAACACCGGUGGCGAAGGCGGGUCUCUGGGCAGUAACUGACGCUGAGGAGCGAAAGCGUGGGGAGCGAACAGGAUUAGAUACCCUGGUAGUCCACGCCGUAAACGGUGGGUACUAGGUGUGGGUUUCCUUCCUUGGGAUCCGUGCCGUAGCUAACGCAUUAAGUACCCCGCCUGGGGAGUACGGCCGCAAGGCUAAAACUCAAAGAAAUUGACGGGGGCCCGCACAAGCGGCGGAGCAUGUGGAUUAAUUCGAUGCAACGCGAAGAACCUUACCUGGGUUUGACAUGCACAGGACGCCGGCAGAGAUGUCGGUUCCCUUGUGGCCUGUGUGCAGGUGGUGCAUGGCUGUCGUCAGCUCGUGUCGUGAGAUGUUGGGUUAAGUCCCGCAACGAGCGCAACCCUUGUCUCAUGUUGCCAGCGGGUAAUGCCGGGGACUCGUGAGAGACUGCCGGGGUCAACUCGGAGGAAGGUGGGGAUGACGUCAAGUCAUCAUGCCCCUUAUGUCCAGGGCUUCACACAUGCUACAAUGGCCGGUACAAAGGGCUGCGAUGCCGCGAGGUUAAGCGAAUCCUUUUAAAGCCGGUCUCAGUUCGGAUCGGGGUCUGCAACUCGACCCCGUGAAGUCGGAGUCGCUAGUAAUCGCA